CCUACGGGAGGCAGCAGUGGGGAAUAUUGGGCAAUGGGCGCGAGCCUGACCCAGCCAAGUCGCGUGAAGGAAGAAGGCUCUAGGGUUGUUAACUUCUUUUUUCCGGGGCGAAGCAAGUGACGGUACCUGAGGAUUAAGCUACGGCUAACUACGUGACAGCAGCCGCGGUAGUACGGAGGUGGCAAGCGUUAUACGGAUUUACUGGGUGUAAAGGGCGUGGGGGCGGGGACGCAAGUCAGAUGUGAAAACCGUGGGCUCAACCUGUGGCCUGCAUUUGAAACUGUGUUUCUUGAGUACUGGGGAGGCAUACGGAAUUCCUGGUGUAGCGGUGAAAUGCAUAGAUAUCAGGAAGAACCCCGAUUGCGAAGGCAGUCUACUGGACAGCAACUGACGCUGAGGCGCGAAAGCGUGGGGAGCAAACAGGAUUAGAUACCCUUGUAGUC
Molecule: ribosomal RNA, 443 nt
Filed under: uncultured bacterium
Lineage: Bacteria
Description: partial 16S ribosomal RNA
Rfam family: Bacterial small subunit ribosomal RNA
Source: RNAcentral